This 365-nucleotide ribosomal RNA is filed under the name uncultured bacterium. Its description in RNAcentral is "bacterial SSU rRNA". It matches the Rfam family "Bacterial small subunit ribosomal RNA", at positions 73 to 422 of the family's 1533-position model. The record is from RNAcentral.
GAGGGGCUUGCUCUUCAAUUUAGUGGCGCACGGGUGAGUAACGCGUGGAUAAUCUGCCCUGGUGUCCGGGAUAACAUUUCGAAAGGGGUGCUAAUACCGGAUAAGCCCACGGAGUCUUCGGACUUUGCGGGAAAAGGUGGCCUCUAUUUAUAAGCUACUGUAUCAGGAUGAGUCCGCGUACCAUUAGCUAGUUGGCGGGGUAAUGGCCCACCAAGGCGACGAUGGUUAGCUGGUCUGAGAGGAUGAUCAGCCACACUGGAACUGGGACACGGUCCAGACUCCUACGGGAGGCAGCAGUGGGGAAUUUUGCGCAAUGGGGGAAACCCUGACGCAGCAACGCCGCGUGAGUGAUGAAGGCCUUCGGG